Molecule: transfer RNA, 86 nt
Filed under: Kingella kingae
Lineage: Bacteria; Pseudomonadati; Pseudomonadota; Betaproteobacteria; Neisseriales; Neisseriaceae
Description: tRNA-Leu
Rfam family: tRNA
About the family: Transfer RNA (tRNA) molecules are approximately 80 nucleotides in length. Their secondary structure includes four short double-helical elements and three loops (D, anti-codon, and T loops).
Source: RNAcentral
GCCCAGGUGGCGAAAUUGGUAGACGCAGGGGACUCAAAAUCCCCCGCCGCAAGGGUGUGUCGGUUCGAGUCCGACCCUGGGCACCA